GACGAACGCUGGCGGCGUGCUUAACACGUGCAAGUCGAACGGAAAGGCCCUGCUUUUGUGGGGUGCUCGAGUGGCGAACGGGUGAGUAACACGUGAGUAACCUGCCCUUGACUUUGGGAUAACUUCAGGAAACUGGGGCUAAUACCGGAUAGGAGCUCCUGCUGCAUGGUGGGGGUUGGAAAGUUUCGGCGGUUGGGGAUGGACUCGCGGCUUAUCAGCUUGUUGGUGGGGUAGUGGCUUACCAAGGCUUUGACGGGUAGCCGGCCUGAGAGGGUGACCGGCCACAUUGGGACUGAGAUACGGCCCAGACUCCUACGGGAGGCAGCAGUGGGGAAUAUUGCACAAUGGGCGGAAGCCUGAUGCAGCAACGCCGCGUGCGGGAUGACGGCCUUCGGGUUGUAAACCGCUUUCGCCUGUGACGAAGCGUGAGUGACGGUAAUGGGUAAAGAAGCACCGGCUAACUACGUGCCAGCAGCCGCGGUGAUACGUAGGGUGCGAGCGUUGUCCGGAUUUAUUGGGCGUAAAGGGCUCGUAGGUGGUUGAUCGCGUCGGAAGUGUAAUCUUGGGGCUUAACCCUGAGCGUGCUUUCGAUACGGGUUGACUUGAGGAAGGUAGGGGAGAAUGGAAUUCCUGGUGGAGCGGUGGAAUGCGCAGAUAUCAGGAGGAACACCAGUGGCGAAGGCGGUUCUCUGGGCCUUUCCUGACGCUGAGGAGCGAAAGCGUGGGGAGCGAACAGGCUUAGAUACCCUGGUAGUCCACGCUGUAAACGGUGGGUACUAGGUGUGGGGUCCAUUCCACGGGUUCCGUGCCGUAGCUAACGCUUUAAGUACCCCGCCUGGGGAGUACGGCCGCAAGGCUAAAACUCAAAGGAAUUGACGGGGCCCCGCACAAGCGGCGGAGCAUGCGGAUUAAUUCGAUGCAACGCGUAGAACCUUACCUGGGUUUGACAUGGAUCGGGAGUGCUCAGAGAUGGGUGUGCCUCUUUUGGGGUCGGUUCACAGGUGGUGCAUGCCUGUCGUCAGCUCGUGUCGUGAGAUGUUGGGUUAAGUCCCGCAACGAGCGCAACCCUUGUUCACUGUUGCCAGCACGUUAUGGUGGGGACUCAGUGGAGACCGCCGGGGUCAACUCGGAGGAAGGUGGGGAUGACGUCAAGUCAUCAUGCCCCUUAUGUCCAGGGCUUCACGCAUGCUACAAUGGCUGGUACAGAGAGUGGCGAGCCUGUGAGGGUGAGCGAAUCUCGGAAAGCCGGUCUCAGUUCGGAUUGGGGUCUGCAACUCGACCUCAUGAAGUCGGAGUCGCUAGUAAUCGCAGAUCAGCAACGCUGCGGUGAAUAAAUUCCCGGGGCU
RNAcentral lists this ribosomal RNA (1346 nucleotides) under uncultured bacterium. RNAcentral's name for it is "partial 16S ribosomal RNA". It matches the Rfam family "Bacterial small subunit ribosomal RNA", at positions 28 to 1381 of the family's 1533-position model. The record is from RNAcentral.